Non-coding RNA from Cricetulus griseus (Chinese hamster), 3927 nucleotides. NCBI's taxonomy places the organism in Eukaryota, Metazoa, Chordata, Mammalia, Rodentia, Cricetidae. The record is from RefSeq and is a predicted model, not a curated record.
AUGGGCUGAAGAUGGAUGCCCCAACUUUACAGAGGAACUUUGGGUGACUGUCCAGGAGACUAUGCCUGGUACCAGAAACACCUUGGCACUCCUCUCAUCAAGACAUGUUAACUACUUUCGGCUCCUUGAAUCUGGCCUCUGUGAGACUCUGCUGCAAGUAAGUCAAAGCAGCAGAAGCCAUGAGACACAAGCUCUGCGACUGCCAGACCACGCUGCUUCUGCCCAGUCCCUUAUUCUUGAGGAGCCCACCUAUACCCCCAUGGGAGAACUCUAGUGCCCCUGGGACUUCUGUGCCUCUGAAGCCACGUGCAUAGGCUUCUGGCCAACAGCUCAACUGAGUUUCCAGUCAACAGACAGUGCCAGCUGCCAGGCACAUACACAAGCCAACCUGGAUAUCCAGUUCCAACAGCCCAGCCACCAUCUGACUGCAGCCUCAUGGGAGACAUUGAGUUCUGCCAGCCUGUUUCUAUAUCUGACUCUUGUGGCAUAAUAAUUAAUUUCAACCACUAAAUUUGGGGGAGAUAUACCACAAAAUUAAUACUAACAUGACCCAUUAUCUCUGGGGGUUACUAUUCUAGAAAAACCUAUGAAUUCUGCUUCUCUAUUCCCUAAUCAAGCAAUUGAGUCCUUUGUCAGUUUUCAAAGCAAGGGUGCAGACGAACCCAGUAGCUCACCACUCCUUUAGUCCAUAAACCCAAACAAAUUCUGGAGCCUGUACAUGGAUAACCCACCAAGAUGAAAGGGGCUGCCCCCACUUAAUGAAGGCAAGAAAGAUAAAGCCUGUCUAAAAUGAGAGCUAUAAUCAUCAGAGGCUUCUGAAACAUGAUGUUUCCUAGGUACUGAACAAAGACUUGGUUACUAGAAAGGUUCAGAAAUUCUUCUCCUCAGAAAGGAAAUGAGGGGGGGAAAAAAAACCUUCACAGAAACAUUGUGAUUGAAGGCAACUCCACCCCCACACCGGGCUGCAAUGCUGACUUCAUCCCCUGCAACGGCGCUGUGACUAAUUUCUGACAAUUACUCCAAACUUCUGAAUAUUCCCCCCAGCCAAGACAGCAGUAGGAAACCUUUCCAUAUGGCCAAAUCUUUCCACAGUCGGUAGUGUUUACAGGAUUCGUAAAUUAGACCUUUCACUUGUAUAAAAGGAAAGAAUUGCACAUGGGACCAUUUGUUCUUCCUCGUUUCGUUCCCUUCCAUCUGAAUCACGCAGUGUUCUUCGUGUGUUCCUGUCCCUGUCCAACAGCAAGGUGGAGGCUUCUUGGGCUGUGCCCUUGUUACCAUUCAACCCUCAACACUCUGUGUUUGGCAAGAUUAGCUUGGACUGAGUGGCACUUUUUAGAGGACUGUGCUGUCAUCACAGGUCAUUUUUCUUCCCAGCCUGGCAUGCUAGACCAGGGUAUUCUCAGGUCAGGAGCAUCCAAAACAGAGCUCUGACUCUCCAAGUGGCUGCUGGUUGGCAGUUUCCUAUGCCUGUCCUCGAAACCGAGAACUGUCCUUGGGUCAUCCCCACCCCCACCCCCACCCCUACCCCCACAUGAGAAAUCUCGUUGAGAAGAUAGGUUGGAAACUCAGAGAGGCCAUGGCUUGCAAGCUGUAAUCAGAGAAGCCACAAAGACAUACCUAGGGUUACCACUGAGAGUACAAGUGGGAGAAUGAGAUGAGUAGCCCUUGAGCACACCCCUUCCCACCCAUGCAACAACCAGAGCACUUCAACUUUCCCUUGGUUUGCAUGUUUGGCUUGAAAUAUUUAAUCUCCAGAAAAGAUAAUGUUUCUUCUACCAACUAUUUGCAUGCCCCUGCAGAACAGAAUGAGGAGGAACUUUGGGGUCCAGGCCCUGUGGUCCUUAAGCCCCACCCUUUACUGAUUCUCUAUGACUGUCAUCUCAGUUCUUCUGUAAGAUGGAGGUAACAAUGCCAACCCCACAGGCAUAGAGGAGACCAGGUGAGAUGUAAUCUAAUAACUGACUAAUUCUAGUAGCUCAAUCAACACUGAAAUUCAGAGCUUUAAAGGGCUGGGGUUUUGUUUUGUUUUGUUUUUUUCGAAGUAGGUUAUUGCAUACAGAAAUGGGCUUCAUUGUGACAUUUUCACACAUUCAUAUCUUUAUGGUUUGCUCCCAUUGCUAGUGCCCCCACCCUCCCCAUCUCACCUCCCAGAAAAGUUCUCUGCUCCACUCAAAGUAUAUACACCUUCCAUUACCUUCUCUUAUCCCCCCUGCUCCCUUUAGACCUAACUAUCCCCACCCCAGUGGUCCCUUUCCACCUGCAUGUCAUAUAUAUGAUGCUCAGAUUUAAGUUGGCUUUCUAUGUAUGAGAGGAAUCCUGGUGUUUGAGUCUGACUUGUUUCAUUUAACAUAAUGAUAUCCAGUUCCAUCCACUUUCCUGCAAAAGUCAUGAUUUCAUUUCUUUGCAGCUGAAUAAAAUUGUAUUUUGCACGUUUUCCCUGUUUUCUUUAUCCAUUCAUCUGUUUGAUGGGCAUGUGUAGUUAUUAUGAAGUGUGGCAAUAAACAUAGAUGUAUACAUACAUCUGUAGUAUGCUAACUUAGACUUCUUUGUGUAUUUACCCAGGAGUGGUAUAGGUAGAUCAUUUAGUAGUUAUAGUUUCAGUUUUUUUUUUUUUUUUUUUUUUUAGUAAUCUCUACACUGAUUUCCAAAGUGGCUACACAAAUCUCCAUUGACACAAGUAGUAUAUAAGGAUAUCUGUCUUCCCAGGUCCAUACCAGCAUUUGCUGUCAUUUGUUUUCUUGAUGAUAGCCAUUAUGACUGGGGUGAGAUGAACUUUCAAUGAGAUCUUAACUUGCAUUUCUCUGAUGGAUAAGGAUAUUAAAUACUUUUUCACAUAUUUAUUGGCGUUUAUAUUUCUUUCUUGGAGAACUGUCUGCUUAAUUCACUUAUUGACUGAAUGAUUUGGAUUUUGGGGGGUAUUUAAUUUUUUGGAUACAACAUUUUGUUUAUAGAUUCCAUAUAUCAAUUCCCUAUUGGAUAAGAGCUGGGAAAGAUUUUUUUCCAUUCUGUAGACUGGCUUUUCACUCAAUUGAUGGUUUAUUUGCUGUCUGGGAGUUUCUUAAUUUCAAGUGACCUAUUUGUCAGUUCUUAGGAUUAUUUCCAGUUUAUUAGAAUCCUUUUUUAGGAAGUUAUUGUCUAUACCUAAACCUUCAAGUGUUUUCCCCUACCAGUUUCAGGGGGCUUCAGGUCUGUAGUAAGAUCUUUGAUCCAUUUUAUGUAGGGUAGGAGAUAUAGAUCUAGUUUCACUACUGUUCCUGUGAAUUUCCCCAGCACUAUUUGCUGAAGAAGCUUUUCUCCCUAUACACGUUUUUAACACUUUUCUUAACACUUAUGGACUGUAAGUACAGGGCUGUAUUUUGGGGUCCUCUAUGCUUGCUCUAUGUGUCUGUUUUUUAUGCCAGUACUAGCCUGUUUUUGUUACUAUAGAUCCAUUGUAUAAUUUGAGAUCAGAUACUGUGAUGCCUCUAAGAAUUGCUCUUUCCACUUAAGAUUGCUUUGGGCAUUUAGGUUCUUAUGUACUUCCCAUAUGAAUAAGAUUUCUUUCCUGUUUCUGUGAAAAAUAUCAUUGGAAUUUUGGUAGGGUUGCAUCAGGUCUGUAAAUCACUUUCAUAAAUACUGCUGUCUUCAUCAAUUUAAUUCUGCCAAUCCAUUAAUAUGGGAGUUCUUUCCAUCUUCUGGUUCUUCUUCAAUGUCUUUCUUCAGAGUUUUAAACUUUCUAUUGUAAAGGUCUUUUACCUUCUUGCUUAGAUUUGUUCUUUGGCUUUUUUUUUUUUUUUGUAAAGCUAUUGUGGGUGGGAUUCUCUUCUUCUCUUUCUUUCUCAGCAUUUUCAUUAUUGAUAUAUAAAGAGGCUACCGACUUUGUGUGUUGAUACUGUAUCCUGCUAUUUUCUUAAAGUGCUUAUCAUGAAUAAAAGUUUUAUGGUGGAA